This 607-nucleotide ribosomal RNA is filed under the name Arthrobacter globiformis. RNAcentral's name for it is "bacterial SSU rRNA". It matches the Rfam family "Bacterial small subunit ribosomal RNA", at positions 558 to 1162 of the family's 1533-position model. Lineage: Bacteria; Bacillati; Actinomycetota; Actinomycetes; Micrococcales; Micrococcaceae. The record is from RNAcentral.
GCGUAAAGAGCUCGUAGGCGGUUUGUCGCGUCUGCCGUGAAAGUCCGGGGCUCAACUCCGGAUCUGCGGUGGGUACGGGCAGACUAGAGUGAUGUAGGGGAGACUGGAAUUCCUGGUGUAGCGGUGAAAUGCGCAGAUAUCAGGAGGAACACCGAUGGCGAAGGCAGGUCUCUGGGCAUUAACUGACGCUGAGGAGCGAAAGCAUGGGGAGCGAACAGGAUUAGAUACCCUGGUAGUCCAUGCCGUAAACGUUGGGCACUAGGUGUGGGGGACAUUCCACGUUUUCCGCGCCGUAGCUAACGCAUUAAGUGCCCCGCCUGGGGAGUACGGCCGCAAGGCUAAAACUCAAAGGAAUUGACGGGGGCCCGCACAAGCGGCGGAGCAUGCGGAUUAAUUCGAUGCAACGCGAAGAACCUUACCAAGGCUUGACAUGGACCGGAGCGGCGCAGAAAUGUGGUUUCCCCUUUGGGGCUGGUUUACAGGUGGUGCAUGGUUGUCGUCAGCUCGUGUCGUGAGAUGUUGGGUUAAGUCCCGCAACGAGCGCAACCCUCGUUCUAUGUUGCCAGCACGUGAUGGUGGGGACUCAUAGGAGACUGCCGGGGUCAAC